CACGUAGGGGACGAGCGUUGUCCGGAAUCAUUGGGCGUAAAGCGCGCGUAGGCGGCCCGGAAAGUCGGAUGUGAAAUCCCGGGGCUCAACCCCGGGCCUGCAUCCGAUACUCCCGGGCUGGAGGCAGGUAGGGGAGAUCGGAAUUCCUGGUGUAGCGGUGAAAUGCGCAGAUAUCAGGAAGAACACCCGUGGCGAAGGCGGCUCUCUGGGACGGUACUGACGCUGAGACGCGAAAGCGUGGGGAGCGAACAGG
This 253-nucleotide ribosomal RNA is filed under the name uncultured bacterium. RNAcentral describes it as "partial 16S ribosomal RNA". It matches the Rfam family "Bacterial small subunit ribosomal RNA", at positions 524 to 776 of the family's 1533-position model. The record is from RNAcentral.